This 1315-nucleotide ribosomal RNA is filed under the name human gut metagenome. RNAcentral's name for it is "bacterial LSU rRNA". It matches the Rfam family "Bacterial large subunit ribosomal RNA", at positions 1100 to 2438 of the family's 2925-position model. The record is from RNAcentral.
GUUGGCUUGGAAGCAGCCAUUCAUUUAAAGAGUGCGUAACAGCUCACUAGUCGAGGAGUCCGGCGUGGAUAAUACUCGGGCAUAAACUGUUUACCGAAGCUAUGGAUGUAGAAAUACAUGGUAGGGGAGCAUUCCAACGGCGUCGAAGGUGAAGGAUGACCUUUGCUGGAGCUUUUGGAAACGCAAAUGUAGGUAUAAGUAACGAUAAAGGAGGUGAGAAACCUCCUCGCCGAAAGACUAAGGUUUCCUGAUCAACGUUAAUCGGAUCAGGGUAAGUCGGGACCUAAGGUUAAGCCGAACGGCGAUACCGAUGGAAGAAUGGUUUAAUAUUCCCAUACUACUUUAUGGAGCGAUGUGGAGACGGAGAAGUGAAAGUCCUGCCAUCUGACGGAAUAGGUGGUUGAAGAGUGUAGAUGUAGAUUCCUGUAGGCAAAUCCGCAGGGAGAGUCGACCUUGACAGUAUGCCGCGUGCUUGCACAAGGCAAAAUGGACGUAAUCAGGCUCCCAAGAAAAUCCGCUAAGCAUAUUCAUAAAGUACCCGUACCGUAAACGGACACACGUAGUUGGGUUGAAAAUACUGAGGCGCUCGAGUGAUUCACGGUUAAGGAACUAGGCAAAUUGACCCUGUAACUUCGGGAUAAAGGGUCCCUACUGAGAGGUAGGGCGCAGAGAAUAGGUCCAGGCAACUGUUUAACAAAAACACAUGGCUGUGCGAAAUAGAAAUAUGAAGUAUACAGCCUGACACCUGCCCGGUGCUGGAAGGUUAAGAGGAGAGCUCAUCGCAAGAGAAGGCUUGAAUUGAAGCCCCAGUAAACGGCGGCCGUAACUAUAACGGUCCUAAGGUAGCGAAAUUCCUUGUCGGGUAAGUUCCGACCUGCACGAAUGGUGUAAUGAUCUGGACACUGUCUCAACCGUGAGCUCGGUGAAAUUGUAGUAUCGGUGAAGAUGCCGAUUACCCGCGAUGGGACGAAAAGACCCCGUGAACCUUUACUAUAGCUUUACAUUGAAUUUGGGCAAUCGAUGUGUAGGAUAGGCCGGAGACCGUGAAGCAGGUACGCCAGUAUUUGUGGAGUCGCCGUUGAAAUACGGCCCUUUGGUUGUUUGAGUUCUAACCCGCAGAAGCGGGGACACUGUAUGGUGGGUAGUUUGACUGGGGUGGUCGCCUCCAAAAGAGUAACGGAGGCUUCUAAAGGUACCCUCAGACCGAUUGGUAACCGGUCGUAGAGUGUAAUGGCAUAAGGGUGCUUGACUGGGAGACAGACAAGUCGAUCAGGUAGGAAACUAGAGCAUAGUGAUCCGGUGGUUCCGCAUGGAA